UGUGCGACGACAAUCAGAUAUUUAUAAAGCGCUCGUGCUAUUGUAGACCGCGUCCUGGACGCGUCUGCUCGUUUUGUUUCAGUUCCAUCUUUGUGGAGGUUAUGCGAACUACCUAAAGAAUUCAGGGUUAUAUUAUUUUCUCCCACCUGUCACUCUGUAAUUUUGAAAGAAUAUGGAAUUUUUUAAGAUUGGUGUGAGGCCUGUAGGGUUAUGUCCUACACAUUGAGGCUAGACUCAAGGCUGUGCUCGAUAUAACAUAAUAGUGGCUUUCUGGAUUUCCUACCUCAAGUACAAAGCAUGGGAUAAGCUGUUGAUAUUUGCACACCCAUAGUUCGUUUCUACUGCAAUGUCACUCAGAUAUUGUCUGUAGUUCUAGUUUAUGAAGUGAAAAGUGUGACAGUGGUGAAGGCAUUCCAAAUUACAUCUGCUUUUCUUUGUACGGCCCUCUUGGGUGGAACUGGGCAUGGAAAGAAACACGAUUUUCCAUUCUCUCGUGGUUAUCCUCUCCAGUGAGAGGACUAGAGAAUGCGGAUAAUUGCUUCAUCCUUUGAAGUACUUGGAGCAUUCCCAAAUGCAAUAAACUGCUGACCUCCUCAAGACAGCGGUGAAAUGAGAAGCCUAUGGUCAUGGUGUCCUUUGGAUUUCAUGCAGGGAGAAGCAGUGUGUUUUAUUAAGAGAGAGCUGCAUGGUAUUAUACCUCUUGCUGUAAUGUGGAUGAAUCGACAGUGCAAAAGAAGAGGAUAGGGAAUCUCUUUUCAACAGUUGUCCGUGACUUUGUAUCAGACUGGUAUUAAUCUGGGAUUUAUUUUGGGAGAAACUGUCAGGUAACAAAUGCUUAUAGUUUCUCUUGAGUCUGUUAUGCAAUGCAAUAUUUCUCGGUUUCCCAUGUGAAGAAAAUAAUUUUUAUUGUCUGUCUGUUUUUUAAUGUGUUUAUAUCGUUUAACUGAAAUUGAUCAUGUAACAUUACUUUUAUCUAGCAUUCUGUAGUAUCUUUAUCUAAAGUAAGCUUGGCAACAUUGCCCUUCCAUCUAAUGGUCAUGACUGUACGGCACAGGAAGAUGUAUUAGAUUGAGCAUAUGGUAGCUGUCAACCUUUUUCUGGCUCUUUUCUGGGCUCAGGUAGUCGUUUCUGUGUGGCCUGAGUAAAUUCUCUGCAGUUACACUUCCUUCGGCUGUGUACAUUGGUCUUUGGUCAAUUAUUCCAAAUAGUCCUUGAGCCCCCUCAUUACUUGGUCCACGAAGUUUGUUGAUUAUUUUCUACAGUCUGUAGUGGCACAAUUAGCUUGUGUCACUAAUUUAGGACAAUGAAUGAUGUGUGUAAUGUAUUCCAAUAUUCUGUGAUUAUUUAUGUACACCUGUGUCUCCUGAUUUAUUUGAAUGUUAUGUCCAUGGCAUGGCAAUCGUGUCAUUUUAUAUUGACUGGCUCUGUUUGGACUUUGUAGUGUCACAAUUGUGUUUUUAUCACUCAAGUUUGCUCACCCAGUACGUGUGGUUCCUGGCUCAUAUUACCAAUGUCGAUUGGAAUUAUCUUUGAUGUAAUAUCUGUUUGCGAAAAAUUUUUCACUUAAGCAAGCUGCUUUGAAAUGUUGGUUUUAUUUAGUUGUGUUGAGAGUAGCUGUUUGGCAUGGUUUUUUUUUGCAUGUGUUGUUUUUGAGUUGUCUUUAAUUCAAGGACAAUAUAUCUCCAUUUGUUUCAUUUCUCAGCUUAGAAUUUGCUGAUAUCUUGUCUUAGCAUUUCAGCUGCUGUGAGUAAAAACUCUUGCACUUUGAACUCUAAGUUAUUUUUGUCAAACUAGUUUACUACUUGCACAUUUUUCUGCUGUUUGUAUCAAGUAAGUUAAUGCCUGCUGAUUUAGUUAAUGUAUCAGUUUAAGUUUUAACUCACCAUUUGGACUUGUAUACUUUCUGAUGAGUUUUGGUACUUUGAAUCAUACCCUCUGCUGUAUUUUCUGAUUAAUUAGUUCAUAAAUCUCAAGAUUAUUCCUGAAUCUUUACUGUUGUUAGUUGUCAUUCAUCUUUUCUCUGGUCUAUAGCUGAGAUCAUGGUCAUCUCUAUCCAUGUUUCUGUCUUGCCUAAACCCAUCUACGGACAAUUUUAUGGGCAGAUGAAGAUUGUUUCCAAUGUCUUUGAUGUGCAGGAGUACUUGUUGUGUGUGGGGAA
This 2158-nucleotide long non-coding RNA is filed under the name Thrips palmi. RNAcentral's name for it is "uncharacterized LOC117642440, transcript variant X1". Lineage: Eukaryota; Metazoa; Arthropoda; Insecta; Thysanoptera; Thripidae. The record is from RNAcentral.